AUCUGGCUCAGGAUGAACGCUAGCGACAGGCUUAACACAUGCAAGUCGAGGGGCAUCACGGGAGUAGCAAUACAACUGGUGGCGACCGGCGCACGGGUGAGUAACGCGUAUGCAACCUACCUAUCGAGAGGGGAAUAACCCGGCGAAAGUCGGACUAAUACCGCAUAAAACAGGGGCACCGCAUGGUGAUAUUUGUUAAAGAAAUUCGCUGAUAGAUGGGCAUGCGUUCCAUUAGGUAGUUGGUGAGGUAACGGCUCACCAAGCCGACGAUGGAUAGGGGAACUGAGAGGUUGGUCCCCCACACUGGUACUGAGACACGGACCAGACUCCUACGGGAGGCAGCAGUGAGGAAUAUUGGUCAAUGGGCGGGAGCCUGAACCAGCCAAGUCGCGUGAAAGGAAGAAGGAUCUAUGGUUCGUAAACUUCUUUUGCAGGGGAAUAAAGUGCAGGACGUGUCCUGUUUUGUAUGUACCCUGAGAAUAAGGAUCGGCUAACUCCGUGCCAGCCGCUGC
Molecule: ribosomal RNA, 512 nt
Filed under: uncultured bacterium
Lineage: Bacteria
Description: bacterial SSU rRNA
Rfam family: Bacterial small subunit ribosomal RNA
Source: RNAcentral